CUUGGGAGCCAACCUGUGACUG
Molecule: microRNA, 22 nt
Filed under: Sus scrofa (pig)
Lineage: Eukaryota; Metazoa; Chordata; Mammalia; Artiodactyla; Suidae
Description: ssc-mir325
Source: RNAcentral